RNAcentral lists this ribosomal RNA (462 nucleotides) under uncultured bacterium. Its description in RNAcentral is "SSU rRNA". It matches the Rfam family "Bacterial small subunit ribosomal RNA", at positions 26 to 518 of the family's 1533-position model. The record is from RNAcentral.
AGAACGAACGCUGGCGGCAUGCCUAACACAUGCAAGUCGAACGCUUUUGGGGCUUCGGUCCCAAAGGAGUGGCGCACGGGUGAGUAGCGCGUGGGAACCUGCCCUGUUGUGGGGGAUAACCGAGGGAAACUUCGGCUAAUACCGCAUACGCCCGGGGGAAACUCCGGGGAAAGAUUUAUCGCAGCAGGAGGGGCCCGCGUCGGAUUAGGUAGUUGGUGGGGUAACGGCCCACCAAGCCUGUGAUCCGUAGCUGGUCUGAGAGGAUGAUCAGCCACACUGGGACUGAGACACGGCCCAGACUCCUACGGGAGGCAGCAGUGGGGAAUAUUGGACAAUGGGCGCAAGCCUGAUCCAGCAAUGCCGCGUGAGUGAUGAAGGCCUUCGGGUUGUAAAGCUCUUUCGCACGCGACGAUGAUGACGGUAGCGUGAGAGAAGCCCGGCUAACUUCGCGCCAGCAGCCGC